Molecule: ribosomal RNA, 475 nt
Filed under: uncultured Magnetococcus sp.
Lineage: Bacteria; Pseudomonadati; Pseudomonadota; Magnetococcia; Magnetococcales; Magnetococcaceae
Description: bacterial SSU rRNA
Rfam family: Bacterial small subunit ribosomal RNA
Source: RNAcentral
UUCGGGAUGCCGGCGAGUGGCGAACGGGUGCGUAACGCGUGGAAACCUGCCCUGAGACGGGGGACAACAGCUGGAAACGGCUGCUAAUACCGCAUAAGCCCUACGGGGGAAAGACGCAAGUCGUCUUGGGAGGGGUCCGCGUCGGAUUAGCUUGUUGGCGAGGUAAUGGCUCACCAAGGCGAUGAUCCGUAGCUGGUCUGAGAGGACGAUCAGCCACACUGGGACUGAGACACGGCCCAGACUCCUACGGGAGGCAGCAGUGGGGAAUAUUGCGCAAUGGGGGAAACCCUGACGCAGCGAUACCGCGUGGGUGAAGAAGGUCUUCGGAUUGUAAAGCCCUUUCAGUGGGAAAGAUGAUGACGGUACCCACAGAAGAAGCUCCGGCUAACUCCGUGCCAGCAGCCGCGGUAAUACGGAGGGGGCGAGCGUUGUUCGGAAUUACUGGGCGUAAAGGGCGCGUAGGCUGUUUUGCAAG